AAUGUCAAAUGUCUUGUCGUGUUUGAUGGUUCAAAUGGCGAGAGCUGCUUUCUUAAACCACAGAGGCUCUGGCAGGGCCGUUUAGGUUCAUUUCUGGGAUCAAACCUGCUGCCUGCCCCAUAGAUCCAACAAAACCACUGGUCCCUGCUGUGGCAUCAGCUGUUUAUCUUCAUCGACUGGUGCAGCGCCUGAGGUCUGCACGACUCGUUCAGCGUGCCAAAGGAGUUCCAAACUGGUCGCCAGUCGUAUGAGGGCACAAAAGAAGCCAGCGUCAUAACUGGGUGAGGAAGAAGCAGAUGAUGAGCAGCCUGUUUGAUUCAGUUGGCGGCACGAAGUAGAAAAUGGCCAACAGUGGGGUAACUCGCG
Long non-coding RNA from Polypterus senegalus (gray bichir), 366 nucleotides. RefSeq lists it as uncharacterized. Lineage: Eukaryota; Metazoa; Chordata; Cladistia; Polypteriformes; Polypteridae. The transcript has 3 exons. The record is from RefSeq and is a predicted model, not a curated record.